UUGGCUGGUGGUAAUGGCGGGAGUGAAACACCCGGUAACAUUCCGAACC
RNAcentral lists this ribosomal RNA (49 nucleotides) under Anaplasma phagocytophilum. Lineage: Bacteria; Pseudomonadati; Pseudomonadota; Alphaproteobacteria; Rickettsiales; Anaplasmataceae. The record is from RNAcentral.